UCGUCAUCGUAGGGUUAGUCGGGUCCUAAGCUGAGUCCGAAAGGGGUAAGCGAUGGCAAAUCGGUUAAUAUUCCGAUACCAACUAAUAGUUUAGUACGAAGGGGGGACGCAUAGGGUUAAACGAGGUCACUGAUGGAAUAGUGGCUCGAAGGGUGUAGAUAAGCUGGAUAGGAAAAUCCGCCGGCUGUUUUCGAGACCUGACAGGCUGAUGACGCUCUUCGGAGUAGAUUCAGAAUCGUUGAUACCGUCGUGCCAAGAAAAGCCUCUAAGUGUAUUAUUAGUUGCCCGUACCGUAAACCGACACAGGUGGGUGAGAUGAGUAUUCUAAGGCGCGUGGAAGAACCCUGGUUAAGGAACUCUGCAAACUAGCACCGUAACUUCGGAAUAAGGUGUGCCUACUUCUGUAUAUGGACUUGCUCCAGAAAGCGGAAGAGGUUGCAACAAAGAGUCCCUCCCGACUGUUUAC
RNAcentral lists this ribosomal RNA (466 nucleotides) under uncultured bacterium. Its description in RNAcentral is "bacterial LSU rRNA". It matches the Rfam family "Bacterial large subunit ribosomal RNA", at positions 1366 to 1807 of the family's 2925-position model. The record is from RNAcentral.